CUCCUUUGACGUUAGCGGCGGACGGGUGAGUAACACGUGGGUAACCUACCUAUAAGACUGGGAUAACUUCGGGAAACCGGAGCUAAUACCGGAUAAUAUUUCGAACCGCAUGGUUCGGUAGUGAAAGGUGGUUUUGCUAUCACUUAUAGAUGGACCCGCGCCGUAUUAGCUAGUUGGUAAGGUAACGGCUUACCAAGGCGACGAUACGUAGCCGACCUGAGAGGGUGAUCGGCCACACUGGAACUGAGACACGGUCCAGACUCCUACGGGAGGCAGCAGCC
This 281-nucleotide ribosomal RNA is filed under the name uncultured Staphylococcus sp. Its description in RNAcentral is "partial 16S ribosomal RNA". It matches the Rfam family "Bacterial small subunit ribosomal RNA", at positions 81 to 355 of the family's 1533-position model. The record is from RNAcentral. Lineage: Bacteria; Bacillati; Bacillota; Bacilli; Caryophanales; Staphylococcaceae.